Molecule: ribosomal RNA, 345 nt
Filed under: uncultured archaeon
Lineage: Archaea
Description: bacterial SSU rRNA
Rfam family: Archaeal small subunit ribosomal RNA
Source: RNAcentral
CCGACGGUGAGGGAUGAAAGCUGGGGAGCAAACCGGAUUAGAUACCCGGGUAGUCCCAGCCGUAAACGAUGUGCGUUAGGUGUAUCGGUGACCACGAGUCACCGAGGUGCCGAAGAGAAAUCGUGAAACGUACCGCCUGGGAAGUACGGUCGCAAGGCUGAAACUUAAAGGAAUUGGCGGGGGAGCACCACAACAGGUGGAGCCUGCGGUUUAAUCGGACUCAACGCCGGGAAACUCACCAGAUAAGACAGCUGAAUGAUAGUCGGGCUGAAGACUCUACUUGACUAGCUGAGAGGAGGUGCAUGGCCGUCGUCAGUUCGUACUGUGAAGCAUCCUGUUAAGUCA